GAUCUCCUACGGGAGGCAGCAGUGAGGAAUAUUGGUCAAUGGGCGCGAGCCUGAACCAGCCAAGUCGCGUGAGGGAGGACGGCCCUACGGGUUGUAAACCUCUUUUGCCGGGGAGCAACGGGCGUCACGUGUGGCGCCACUGAGAGUACCCGGAGAAAAAGCAUCGGCUAACUCCGUGCCAGCAGCCGCGGUAAUACGGAGGAUGCGAGCGUUAUCCGGAUUUAUUGGGUUUAAAGGGUGCGCAGGCGGUCUGCUAAGUCAGCGGUCAAAACCCGGGGCUCAACCCCGGCCCGCCGUUGAAACUG
Molecule: ribosomal RNA, 305 nt
Filed under: uncultured bacterium
Lineage: Bacteria
Description: bacterial SSU rRNA
Rfam family: Bacterial small subunit ribosomal RNA
Source: RNAcentral